This 327-nucleotide ribosomal RNA is filed under the name Alternaria sp. 3 DA-2012. RNAcentral's name for it is "SSU rRNA". It matches the Rfam family "Eukaryotic small subunit ribosomal RNA", at positions 882 to 1207 of the family's 1831-position model. The record is from RNAcentral. Lineage: Eukaryota; Fungi; Ascomycota; Dothideomycetes; Pleosporales; Pleosporaceae.
UCGGGGGCAUCAGUAUUCAGUUGUCAGAGGUGAAAUUCUUGGAUUUACUGAAGACUAACUACUGCGAAAGCAUUUGCCAAGGAUGUUUUCAUUAAUCAGUGAACGAAAGUUAGGGGAUCGAAGACGAUCAGAUACCGUCGUAGUCUUAACCGUAAACUAUGCCGACUAGGGAUCGGGCGAUGUUCUUUUUCUGACUCGCUCGGCACCUUACGAGAAAUCAAAGUUUUUGGGUUCUGGGGGGAUUAUGGUCGCAAGGCUGAAACUUAAAGAAAUUGACGGAAGGUCACCACCAGGCGUGGAGCCUGCGGCUUAAUUUGACUCAACACG